This 693-nucleotide long non-coding RNA is filed under the name Capsella grandiflora. RNAcentral describes it as "long non-coding RNA (CGRA_LNC001134)". Lineage: Eukaryota; Viridiplantae; Streptophyta; Magnoliopsida; Brassicales; Brassicaceae. The record is from RNAcentral.
UCAUUCACCACCCCCUCCAGUCAAGUCUCCUCCUCCACCGUACCAUUACUCCUCACCACCACCUCCGGUGAAAUCCCCACCACCACCAUACCUAUACAACUCUCCACCGCCACCAGUAAAAUCUCCCCCACCUCCAGUCUACAUCUACGCUUCUCCGCCACCUCCCACACAUUACUAGGCUCGUCAAAUUCAACAAAAUUUCCCCAUUAUUCAAGUAAGUCCAACACUCCUAUAGCUACACUCUCAACUUUAAUUAAUCCAUCAUGCAUGCAUCCGUUUUAAUAGGUAGCGUUCCCUAAAUAAAAUAUCUCAAUUACUUGUACACAGGUUUUCUUUUUAAAAAUGAAAUAAAGGAAGGGUCAAAGUCAAAGAGGAGAAGAAGUGAACCAAAUAAGGAUCGUCGCGUGGAAAUCAGAAAGGAUACAUCUAUAACAACGAACCACAUCAUCACUUCGUCUUCUUCAAUGUCGCUCAUCUUCCACUUGUGCAUCAUUCUCUUUGCGUCUUCAUCAAGUGAAAUUGUUUCCAAGACCCUUUUAGAUCGUAUCAUACUCUUUCUUUGUUCCCUUUUGUUGUUAAGUGAAAAAAAAAAUGGGGUUUUGGUAAUUUAAUUGUUGUGCAUACAUUUGCUAUUUUGUUAUUCUUGUAAUGAGAGAGGUGUUAGCAUAUAAAACAAGGUUCAAUUUUCUUCUU